UCUUCCCAUUCCGAACAGAGAAGUUAAGCCUGCCUGCGCCAAUGAUACUGCCCCUGUGGUGGAAAAGUAGGUCGUCGCCAAAG
Molecule: ribosomal RNA, 83 nt
Filed under: Bacteroidetes bacterium GWF2_41_31
Lineage: Bacteria; Pseudomonadati; Bacteroidota
Source: RNAcentral